GAGAGAAGAGAGACUGGUUUGGAAAUGGAGACCUUUGGAGGGAAGCAGUGAUUAAAUAUAUUUAUUCCCCCACAGCUACAGUGUAGCUUGACGAUGAAGAUUCAUUGCUCUCUCACUCCUCUCCACUUCACCCACCGCUCCCCACUUCCACCCCUAAAUCACACCUCCAUAAACCCUAACCCCAAUCCAAUUCACCGCCUAUAGAUUAUUCCGCCACUCAUAUUUCAUUUCUCUAAAUUAAUUCAUACAUUUACGCCGCGGCCAUGCCGAAGAUGAAGCGCUUUCUUCGGAAGCUGCACAUCGGCGAUCACCAGCCGCCUCCCGUCCCCGAUCAGCCAGCUCAAACGGCGUCGUCGCAGCUGUCGGAGUCGUCGUCUCCGUCUCCUUCGCCGUCGCCGCUGCCUGAUUUGCCGCAGACGGCGUCCUCGUCGGAGAACGAGGCCGCGGGUACCAAUUUCAAUUACCUCGAAGAGGAGUUCCAAAUGCAAUUGGCGCUGGCAAUCAGCGUUUCGGAUCCAGGUCAAACCGGCGUUGACUCGGAAAUGGCUCAAAUCAACGCGGUUAAGCAGAUUAGUCUUGGCCGCUCUCCUUCUCAAAGCCUAGCUGAAUUUCUAGCCCUCCGAUAUUGGAGCUGUAAUGUUGUAAAUUAUGAUGAGAAAGUAAUAGAUGGAUUCUAUGAUGUUUGUGGAAUUGAUUCCAGCUCGAUGGUCCAAACCAACAUGCCAUCCCUAGUAGAUCUUGAAGCAAUAUCUGUGUUGAACACUGUUGGCCUUGAGGUGGUUUCAGUCAACCGUGGUGCUGAUAUGGAGCUUCGGAGACUUGAGGAAAUAGUGCAUUUUAUGUCCAUGGAUUAUCUUGCUCCAAAUACAAGCCAGAGUACAAGCUCGCUAGUUCAAAAAAUUGCUGAUCUUAUUGUUGAAAGAAUGGGAGGUCCUGUUAGUGAUGUUGAAGAAAUGUUUUGGAGAUGGAGGGCACGGAGUCAGGAGUUAAGAGUCAACUUCAACACAGUUGUCCUUCCUCUUGGUUCUCUUGACAUUGGCCAUUCACGCCAAAGGGCCUUACUCUUUAAGGUACUUGCUGAUAGGGUUAACAUUCCAUGUAAGCUAGUCAAAGGGAGUUAUCAUACUGGCACUGAUGAAGGAGCUGUAAACUUGAUAAAAUUGGACAAUGGAAGUGAAUAUAUUAUAGAUCUGAUGGGUGCUCCUGGGGCUCUCAUUCCUGCUGAAGCACCUAGUAGGCGUCUUCAAAAUUUUGGGUUUGAUAUUACAACUGUUGCAGCAGUUGGCAAAGGUUCAUUUUCAGCACCUGACCAAGGAACCAGAGCAGAAGCGUCCUACGUAGAUGAAACUGCCAAAACUGGAAGUUCAAGUUUUGACUCAUCUCAGGUUGCUACUGUAUCAAAUAGAAACGGUGGUAGAUUCGCUGGAAAAAUCCUGUCAGACCUGUUGGAGCAUGCUACUGGAGAUAUUUAUCUACCCUCAAGUGAAAUAUGUGAAAUGCCAUUGGGUGCUGGCAAGAAAAUAAAUUUGGUAGAGUUGCGAGUUGAAGAUGUUCCCAGGAAAGAUGCAACUGAACAAUUGCAUGUGCCUCUGGAUUCAGCUGGAUACAGACCAUCUUCUGAUACCCAACACGAACGAAGAGUAACUUUCAAAGACAGAAAGGAGGAAGACAUCCCAAAUGACGGUGCUGCAAUUGCUAAUGAACAUAUUGAUUCUUCUGGAAAUGGAGAGGCUAUACACAUAGCCUACACUGACCAGUCUAAUGCUAACAAGAUUCAAGAUAUGCAAAUUGAUUCAGCAAUAAAUGGAGUGGCCGAAAUGUUAUGGGAGGAUCUUCAGAUUGGUGAACGCAUUGGUAUAGGAUCUUAUGGUGAGGUCUACCGAGCAGAAUGGAAUGGCACAGAAGUUGCAUUGAAGAGGUUUAUGAAACAAGAUAUAUCAGGUGAUGCACUAGCACAGUUUAGAUGUGAGAUCGAGAUUAUGUUGAGGUUGCGACAUCCAAAUAUUGUUCUUUUCAUGGGAGCUGUAUUACGGCCCCCAAAUAUGUCUAUAUUGAUGGAAUUUCUCCCAAGAGGUAGCUUGUAUAAGCUGCUGCACCGUCCAAAUAUCCAAAUUGAUGAAAAAAGGCGAAUAAGGAUGGCCAUGGAUGUGGCCAAGGGAAUGAAUUAUUUACACACUAGCCAUCCGAUUAUCGUGCAUCGAGAUCUCAAGACUCCAAACCUUCUUGUUGAUAAAAAUUGGGUCGUUAAGGUUUGUGACUUUGGGAUGUCGCGCCUGCAGCACAACACUUUUCUAUCUUCUAAAUCGACUGCUGGAACGGCUGAGUGGAUGGCACCAGAAGUUCUAAGGAAUGAACCAUCUAACGAGAACUUUUCCUUAUUUGCAGAUCUGAUGUAUAUAGUUUUGGGGUCAUUUUAUGGGAGCUGGCUACUCUGCGGGUGCCAUGGACAGAAAUGAACUCGAUGCAAGUAGUUGGAGCCGUUGGAUUUCAAGACAGACACCUUGACAUCCCGCCCAUGGUUGAUCCACUGGUUGCAGAUAUAAUACGCGAUUGCUGGAUUAGAAACCCACAGGGACGCCCUUCGUUUGCACAGAUUAUUGCUCGACUCAAACGCGUGCGUCGCCUUAGGGUGCAGAAAACAACUGAGAGUCGUGAAACCCAUCUCUGAUGUAACAAUAGCUCAGUACUCGUUCAAAGAACCAGCAGAGCAGGAGUGGGUUUUUAGAAAUCUUCAAAGGUACAGCUGCUAAGGAACAUAAUUGGAUUGGGUAGGCAGUGGUUCAUUGGCGAAGCUUGAUGCAGCCGGAAACAAAACUCGCCUGGACUUAAAACAAGUCUCAUAAGUGCAGCUGGGGGCAAACAUUAAAUUCUUGAGAAAAUGGAAAAAAGUUUAGAAGGUAUUAGGGUUCACCAAUGUAGGUGAGUAAAUUUGUAAUAAAUCUUAUUUAGACCGAGAGAGAGGGGUGGUUUAGGGGGUAUCUGUUGAGACCACAAAAAAGUAACUGUAAAAAAGGGUCUCUGCUGAUUUUGUAUAAAAAAAAUUAUUUGUUGUAUUUAAACCGUCACCUGGCAUAA
Molecule: RNA transcript, 3075 nt
Organism: Salvia hispanica
Lineage: Eukaryota; Viridiplantae; Streptophyta; Magnoliopsida; Lamiales; Lamiaceae
Gene name: putative serine/threonine-protein kinase SIS8
Source: RefSeq, a predicted model, not a curated record